GUGGGGACUUUUGGACAAUGGGCGCAAGCCUGAUCCAGCGACGCCGCGUGGAGGACGAAGGCCUUCGGGUUGUAAACUCCUUUUGGAGGGGAAGAAUAAAUUGACGGUACCCUCAGAAAAAGCCACGGCUAACUACGUGCCAGCAGCCGCGGUAAUACGUAGGUGGCGAGCGUUACUCGGAAUUACUAGGCGUAAAGCGUAUGUAGGUGGUUAGAUAAGUCUAUGGUGAAAUUUCCUGGCUUAACUGGGAAGGGACAUAGAUACUAUCUGGCUUGAGUGUGGGAGGGGGAGACGGAAUUCCUGGUGUAGCGGUGAAAUGCGUAGAUAUCAGGAGGAACACCGAUGGCGAAAGCAGUCUCCUGGCCCAAUACUGACACUGAGGUACGAAAGCUAGGGUAGCAAACAGGAUUAGAAACCCGUGUAGUCC
Molecule: ribosomal RNA, 427 nt
Filed under: uncultured bacterium
Lineage: Bacteria
Description: partial 16S ribosomal RNA
Rfam family: Bacterial small subunit ribosomal RNA
Source: RNAcentral